RNAcentral lists this ribosomal RNA (496 nucleotides) under uncultured bacterium. Its description in RNAcentral is "partial 16S ribosomal RNA". It matches the Rfam family "Bacterial small subunit ribosomal RNA", at positions 28 to 506 of the family's 1533-position model. The record is from RNAcentral.
GAUGAACGCUGGCGGCGUGCCUAAUACAUGCAAGUCGAGCGAACAGACGAGGAGCUUGCUCCUCUGACGUUAGCGGCGGACGGGUGAGUAACACGUGGAUAACCUACCUAUAAGACUGGGAUAACUUCGGGAAACCGGAGCUAAUACCGGAUAAUAUAUUGAACCGCAUGGUUCAAUAGUGAAAGACGGUUUUGCUGUCACUUAUAGAUGGAUCCGCGCCGCAUUAGCUAGUUGGUAAGGUAACGGCUUACCAAGGCAACGAUGCGUAGCCGACCUGAGAGGGGGUGCGGCCCCACUGGACAUGAGACCCGGUCCAGCCUCCUACGGGAGGCAGAAGUAGGGAAUCUUCCGCAAUGGGCGAAAGCCUGACGGAGCAACGCCGGGUGAGUGAUGAAGGUCUUCGGAUCGUAAAACUCUGUUUUUAGGGAAAAACAAAUGUGUAAGUAACUAUGCCCGUCUUGACGGUACCUAAUCAGAAAGCCCCGGCUAACUACGU